GGGUGCGAUCAUACCAGCACUAAUGCACCGGAUCGUAUCAAAAUGCCGUAGUUAAGCGUGCUUGGGUGACUGUAGUACUAGGAUGGGUGACGUCUUGGGAAGUCCUCGUGUUGCACCCC
Gossypium raimondii (Peruvian cotton) is the source of this 119-nucleotide non-coding RNA. The record is from Rfam. Lineage: Eukaryota; Viridiplantae; Streptophyta; Magnoliopsida; Malvales; Malvaceae.